Molecule: transfer RNA, 67 nt
Filed under: Mancinella alouina
Lineage: Eukaryota; Metazoa; Mollusca; Gastropoda; Neogastropoda; Muricidae
Description: tRNA-Phe
Rfam family: tRNA
About the family: Transfer RNA (tRNA) molecules are approximately 80 nucleotides in length. Their secondary structure includes four short double-helical elements and three loops (D, anti-codon, and T loops).
Source: RNAcentral
GCUUAGAUAGCUUAAAUAUAGAGCAUAGCACUGAAGAUGCUAGGGUGACAGAUGUUGUCUCAAAGCA